Molecule: long non-coding RNA, 588 nt
Organism: Cryptotermes secundus
Lineage: Eukaryota; Metazoa; Arthropoda; Insecta; Blattodea; Kalotermitidae
Exons: 2
Source: RefSeq, a predicted model, not a curated record
AGCUUGGAACGACAUUCAGUAUCAGUCAAAGCUAACUUCUGGCCAGAAGAUGAAGAACUUCCGGAUCCUGCUGCUUGUUGCCGCAAUGGGACUAUUGUUCCUUGCCGAACCUGGGAACAGCGCACCUGCACCACAAAUAGCUGAAUUUAUUUGCGACAGACUACCUUUCCUACCAUUCUGUCACGGUACUACAGAGUCUACACUUCUUAUUGAAUCUUCCCCUACCCCUCCCGGAGCCCCGGGACCUGGGCCUAUCGUCGACUAACUCUCUCCCUACAUCUGACUCGGGUGCACUGCCAGAAGUGGCAGCGCCCACUGCGCUGUGUUGCUUCCCCUCAGCCGCAGUCAGCUGUGGGCGCUACAGUACUCAAAGAGUGACAAUUCAAUCAACAUGGUAAACAUUCUUACAAUUAGACGGAACUGCGCACGCGCACUGCACUUCAUUCAAAUACAUGAAUAAUGUUUGGUUGUGCAAGUUACAUGUCUGUACUCUGUUAAAUUCACAGUAGACAUUAAGAUGUGAACAAAAUGUAUAAUUUAAUAAGCACUCUGCAAUUAAUAAACACUGAAAGUUUUCACAGAAAAUGA